UCUGCGUUUUGCGCAGCGGUCCCGUUAGACAUGGUAACUAACGGCGAGGGUUGCGCUCGUUGCGGGACUUAACCCAACAUCUCACGACACGAGCUGACGACAGCCAUGCAGCACCUGUCUCCGGUCCAGCCGAACUGAAGAACUCCAUCUCUGGAGUCCGCGACCGGGAUGUCAAGGGCUGGUAAGGUUCUGCGCGUUGCGUCGAAUUAAACCACAUGCUCCACCGCUUGUGCGGGCCCCCGUCAAUUCCUUUGAGUUUCAGCCUUGCGGCCGUACUCCCCAGGCGGGGCACUUAAUGCGUUAGCGCCGGCACCCAGGGGGUCGCUCCCCCAGGCACCUAGUGCCCAUCGUUUACGGCGUGGACUAC
This 367-nucleotide unclassified non-coding RNA is filed under the name uncultured Alphaproteobacteria bacterium. RNAcentral's name for it is "contains 16S-23S intergenic spacer region". The record is from RNAcentral. Lineage: Bacteria; Pseudomonadati; Pseudomonadota; Alphaproteobacteria.